ACUAAGCGUACACGGUGGAUGCCCUGGCAGUCAGAGGCGAUGAAGGACGUGCUAAUCUGCGAUAAGCGUCGGUAAGGUGAUAUGAACCGUUAUAACCGGCGAUUUCCGAAUGGGGAAACCCAGUGUGAUUCGUCACACUAUCAUUAACUGAAUCCAUAGGUUAAUGAGGCGAACCGGGGGAACUGAAACAUCUAAGUACCCCGAGGAAAAGAAAUCAACCGAGAUUCCCCCAGUAGCGGCGAGCGAACGGGGAGCAGCCCAGAGCCUGAAUCAGUGUGUGUGUUAGUGGAAGCGUCUGGAAAGGCGUGCGAUACAGGGUGACAGCCCCGUACACAAAAAUGCACAUAUUGUGAGCUCGAUGAGUAGGGCGGGACACGUGGUAUCCUGUCUGAAUAUGGGGGGACCAUCCUCCAAGGCUAAAUACUCCUGACUGACCGAUAGUGAACCAGUACCGUGAGGGAAAGGCGAAAAGAACCCCGGCGAGGGGAGUGAAAAAGAACCUGAAACCGUGUACGUACAAGCAGUGGGAGCACGCUUAGGCGUGUGACUGCGUACCUUUUGUAUAAUGGGUCAGCGACUUAUAUUCUGUAGCAAGGUUAACCGAAUAGGGGAGCCGAAGGGAAACCGAGUCUUAACUGGGCGUUAAGUUGCAGGGUAUAGACCCGAAACCCGGUGAUCUAGCCAUGGGCAGGUUGAAGGUUGGGUAACACUAACUGGAGGACCGAACCGACUAAUGUUGAAAAAUUAGCGGAUGACUUGUGGCUGGGGGUGAAAGGCCAAUCAAACCGGGAGAUAGCUGGUUCUCCCCGAAAGCUAUUUAGGUAGCGCCUCGUGAAUUCAUCUCCGGGGGUAGAGCACUGUUUCGGCAAGGGGGUCAUCCCGACUUACCAACCCGAUGCAAACUGCGAAUACCGGAGAAUGUUAUCACGGGAGACACACGGCGGGUGCUAACGUCCGUCGUGAAGAGGGAAACAACCCAGACCGCCAGCUAAGGUCCCAAAGUCAUGGUUAAGUGGGAAACGAUGUGGGAAGGCCCAGACAGCCAGGAUGUUGGCUUAGAAGCAGCCAUCAUUUAAAGAAAGCGUAAUAGCUCACUGGUCGAGUCGGCCUGCGCGGAAGAUGUAACGGGGCUAAACCAUGCACCGAAGCUGCGGCAGCGACACUAUGUGUUGUUGGGUAGGGGAGCGUUCUGUAAGCCUGUGAAGGUGUACUGUGAGGUAUGCUGGAGGUAUCAGAAGUGCGAAUGCUGACAUAAGUAACGAUAAAGCGGGUGAAAAGCCCGCUCGCCGGAAGACCAAGGGUUCCUGUCCAACGUUAAUCGGGGCAGGGUGAGUCGACUCCUAAGGCGAGGCCGAAAGGCGUAGUCGAUGGGAAACAGGUUAAUAUUCCUGUACUUGGUGUUACUGCGAAGGGGGGACGGAGAAGGCUAUGUUGGCCGGGCGACGGUUGUCCCGGUUUAAGCGUGUAGGCUGGUUUUCCAGGCAAAUCCGGAAAACUAAGGCUGAGGCGUGAUGACGAGGCACUACGGUGCUGAAGCAACAAAUGCCCUGCUUCCAGGAAAAGCCUCUAAGCAUCAGGUAACAUCAAAUCGUACCCCAAACCGACACAGGUGGUCAGGUAGAGAAUACCAAGGCGCUUGAGAGAACUCGGGUGAAGGAACUAGGCAAAAUGGUGCCGUAACUUCGGGAGAAGGCACGCUGAUAUGUAGGUGAAGUCCCUCGCGGAUGGAGCUGAAAUCAGUCGAAGAUACCAGCUGGCUGCAACUGUUUAUUAAAAACACAGCACUGUGCAAACACGAAAGUGGACGUAUACGGUGUGACGCCUGCCCGGUGCCGGAAGGUUAAUUGAUGGGGUCAGCGCAAGCGAAGCUCUUGAUCGAAGCCCCGGUAAACGGCGGCCGUAACUAUAACGGUCCUAAGGUAGCGAAAUUCCUUGUCGGGUAAGUUCCGACCUGCACGAAUGGCGUAAUGAUGGCCAGGCUGUCUCCACCCGAGACUCAGUGAAAUUGAACUCGCUGUGAAGAUGCAGUGUACCCGCGGCAAGACGGAAAGACCCCGUGAACCUUUACUAUAGCUUGACACUGAACAUUGAGCCUUGAUGUGUAGGAUAGGUGGGAGGCUUUGAAGUGUGGACGCCAGUCUGCAUGGAGCCGACCUUGAAAUACCACCCUUUAAUGUUUGAUGUUCUAACGUUGACCCGUAAUCCGGGUUGCGGACAGUGUCUGGUGGGUAGUUUGACUGGGGCGGUCUCCUCCUAAAGAGUAACGGAGGAGCACGAAGGUUGGCUAAUCCUGGUCGGACAUCAGGAGGUUAGUGCAAUGGCAUAAGCCAGCUUGACUGCGAGCGUGACGGCGCGAGCAGGUGCGAAAGCAGGUCAUAGUGAUCCGGUGGUUCUGAAUGGAAGGGCCAUCGCUCAACGGAUAAAAGGUACUCCGGGGAUAACAGGCUGAUACCGCCCAAGAGUUCAUAUCGACGGCGGUGUUUGGCACCUCGAUGUCGGCUCAUCACAUCCUGGGGCUGAAGUAGGUCCCAAGGGUAUGGCUGUUCGCCAUUUAAAGUGGUACGCGAGCUGGGUUUAGAACGUCGUGAGACAGUUCGGUCCCUAUCUGCCGUGGGCGCUGGAGAACUGAGGGGGGCUGCUCCUAGUACGAGAGGACCGGAGUGGACGCAUCACUGGUGUUCGGGUUGUCAUGCCAAUGGCACUGCCCGGUAGCUAAAUGCGGAAGAGAUAAGUGCUGAAAGCAUCUAAGCACGAAACUUGCCCCGAGAUGAGUUCUCCCUGACUCCUUGAGAGUCCUGAAGGAACGUUGAAGACGACGACGUUGAUAGGUCGGGUGUGUAAGCGCAGCGAUGCGUUGAGCUAACCGGUACUAAUGAACCGUGAGGCUUAACC
RNAcentral lists this ribosomal RNA (2892 nucleotides) under Shigella dysenteriae. RNAcentral describes it as "bacterial LSU rRNA". It matches the Rfam family "Bacterial large subunit ribosomal RNA". The record is from RNAcentral. Lineage: Bacteria; Pseudomonadati; Pseudomonadota; Gammaproteobacteria; Enterobacterales; Enterobacteriaceae.